RNAcentral lists this unclassified non-coding RNA (333 nucleotides) under Triticum aestivum (bread wheat). RNAcentral's name for it is "partial contains 5.8S ribosomal RNA and internal transcribed spacer 2". The stretch from base 1 to 145 matches the Rfam family "5.8S ribosomal RNA". The record is from RNAcentral. Lineage: Eukaryota; Viridiplantae; Streptophyta; Magnoliopsida; Poales; Poaceae.
AUGAAUAUCUCGGCUCUCGCAUCGAUGAAGAACAUAGCAAAAUGCGAUACCUGGUGUGAAUUGCAGAAUCCCGCGAACCAUCAAGUCUUUGAACGCAAGUUGUGCCCGAGGCCACUCGGCCGAGGGCACGCCUGCCUGGGCAUCACGCCAAAACACACUCCCAACCACCCUCAUCGGGAAUUGGGAUGCAGCAUCUGGUCCCUCGUCUCGCAAGGGGCGGUGGACCGAAGAUCGGGCUGCUGGCAUACCAUGCCGGACACAGCACAUGGUGGGCGUCCUUGCUUUAUCAAUGCAGUGCAUCCGACACGAGCUGGCAUUAUGGCCUCGGAAUGA